RNAcentral lists this ribosomal RNA (364 nucleotides) under uncultured Methanosaeta sp. Its description in RNAcentral is "bacterial SSU rRNA". It matches the Rfam family "Archaeal small subunit ribosomal RNA", at positions 976 to 1338 of the family's 1478-position model. Lineage: Archaea; Methanobacteriati; Methanobacteriota; Methanomicrobia; Methanotrichales; Methanotrichaceae. The record is from RNAcentral.
UUAGCUGAGAGGUGGUGCAUGGCCGUCGUCAGUCCGUACUGUGAAGCAUCCUGUUAAGUCAGGCAACGAGCCGAGACCCACGUCCACAGUUGCCAGCAUACCCUCCGGGGUGAUGGGUACACUGUGGAGACCGCCGCUGCUAAAGCGGAGGAAGGAGUGGGCAACGGUAGGUCAGUAUGCCCCGAAUCUCCCGGGCUACACGCGGGCUACAAUGGUUGGUACAAUGGGCAUCUACCCCGAAAGGGGAAGGAAAUCUCUUAAAGCCAAUCGUAGUUCGGAUUGAGGGCUGCAACUCGCCCUCAUGAAGCUGGAAUCCGUAGUAAUCGCGUUUCAACAGAACGCGGUGAAUACGUCCCUGCUCCUU